Microtus oregoni (creeping vole) is the source of this 276-nucleotide long non-coding RNA. RefSeq lists it as uncharacterized. NCBI's taxonomy places the organism in Eukaryota, Metazoa, Chordata, Mammalia, Rodentia, Cricetidae. The record is from RefSeq and is a predicted model, not a curated record. The transcript has 3 exons.
GCAGCUCACGCAAGGAAGCGGAGGACAUGUCUGCCAAGAGGAUAUGAGAAGACACCUGUAGUAUGGCCUCAGUCAUGAUUGAAAUGCACAGAAGGAAAGGCAGCGGGACAGAAUGAUGUCAGAGUGUCCACAGACCGUCAUCGGGUGGUGGAAUUGUGGGCGAUUUCCUCUGCUUCUCUGGGUUUUCCAAUGAUACCAAGAUGAACAUGCACUUUUAUACAGCCAGCCCCUAAAGGAGAGGCUGCCAGAUAAAUUAUUUUUCUAAGAAGAGAGAAG